AUUGAACGCUGGCGGCAUGCCUUACACAUGCAAGUCGAACGGCAGCACGGAGCUUGCUCUGGUGGCGAGUGGCGAACGGGUGAGUAAUAUAUCGGAACGUACCCUAGAGUGGGGGAUAACGUAGCGAAAGUUACGCUAAUACCGCAUACGAUCUAAGGAUGAAAGUGGGGGAUCGCAAGACCUCAUGCUCGUGGAGCGGCCGAUAUCUGAUUAGCUAGUUGGUAGGGUAAAAGCCUACCAAGGCAUCGAUCAGUAGCUGGUCUGAGAGGACGACCAGCCACACUGGAACUGAGACACGGUCCAGACUCCUACGGGAGGCAGCAGUGGGGAAUUUUGGACAAUGGGCGAAAGCCUGAUCCAGCAAUGCCGCGUGAGUGAAGAAGGCCUUCGGGUUGUAAAGCUCUUUUGUCGGGGAAGAAACGGUGAGAGCUAAUAUCUCUUGCUAAUGACGGUACCUGAAGAAUAAGCACCGGCUAACUACGUGCCAGCAGCCGCGGUAAUACGUAGGGUGCAAGCGUUAAUCGGAAUUACUGGGCGUAAAGCGUGCGCAGGCGGUUUUGUAAGUCUGAUGUGAAAUCCCCGGGCUCAACCUGGGAAUUGCAUUGGAGACUGCAAGGCUAGAAUCUGGCAGAGGGGGGUAGAAUUCCACGUGUAGCAGUGAAAUGCGUAGAUAUGUGGAGGAACACCGAUGGCGAAGGCAGCCCCCUGGGUCAAGAUUGACGCUCAUGCACGAAAGCGUGGGGAGCAAACAGGAUUAGAUACCCUGGUAGUCCACGCCCUAAACGAUGUCUACUAGUUGUCGGGUCUUAAUUGACUUGGUAACGCAGCUAACGCGUGAAGUAGACCGCCUGGGGAGUACGGUCGCAAGAUUAAAACUCAAAGGAAUUGACGGGGACCCGCACAAGCGGUGGAUGAUGUGGAUUAAUUCGAUGCAACGCGAAAAACCUUACCUACCCUUAACAUGGCUGGAAUCCUCGAGAGAUCAGGGAGUGCUCGAAAGAGAACCAGUACACAGGUGCUGCAUGGCUGUCGUCAGCUCGUGUCGUGAGAUGUUGGGUUAAGUCCCGCAACGAGCGCAACCCUUGUCAUUAGUUGCUACGAAAGGGCACUCUAAUGAGACUGCCGGUGACAAACCGGAGGAAGGUGGGGAUGACGUCAAGUCCUCAUGGCCCUUAUGGGUAGGGCUUCACACGUCAUACAAUGGUACAUACAGAGCGCCGCCAACCCGCGAGGGGGAGCUAAUCGCAGAAAGUGUAUCGUAGUCCGGAUUGUAGUCUGCAACUCGACUGCAUGAAGUUGGAAUCGCUAGUAAUCGCGGAUCAGCAUGUCGCGGUGAAUACGUUCCCGGGUCU
This 1352-nucleotide ribosomal RNA is filed under the name uncultured bacterium. RNAcentral's name for it is "bacterial SSU rRNA". It matches the Rfam family "Bacterial small subunit ribosomal RNA", at positions 28 to 1381 of the family's 1533-position model. The record is from RNAcentral.